RNAcentral lists this non-coding RNA (148 nucleotides) under Nomascus leucogenys (northern white-cheeked gibbon). The record is from Rfam by way of RNAcentral. Lineage: Eukaryota; Metazoa; Chordata; Mammalia; Primates; Hylobatidae.
GCUGGGUGUGGUGGUGUGCACCUGUAGUCCCAGCUACUUGGAAGGCUGAGGCAAGAGGAUCACUUGAGCCCAGGAGGUCAGCGCUGCAGUGAGCCAUGAUCACACCACUGUACUCCAGCCUGGGCCACAAAGUGAGACCCUGUCUUAA